RNAcentral lists this ribosomal RNA (492 nucleotides) under uncultured bacterium. RNAcentral's name for it is "partial 16S ribosomal RNA". It matches the Rfam family "Bacterial small subunit ribosomal RNA", at positions 28 to 507 of the family's 1533-position model. The record is from RNAcentral.
GAUGAACGCUAGCUACAGGCUUAACACAUGCAAGUCGAGGGGAAACGACAUCGAAAGCUUGCUUUUGAUGGGCGUCGACCGGCGCACGGGUGAGUAACGCGUAUCCAACCUGCCCAUCACUUGGGAAUAACCUUGCGAAAGUAAGACUAAUACCCAAUGACAUCCCACGAAGACAUCUGAAUGGGAUUAAAGAUUUAUCGGUGAUGGAUGGGGAUGCGUCUGAUUAGCUUGUUGGCGGGGUAACGGCCCACCAAGGCAACGAUCAGUAGGGGUUCUGAGAGGAAGGUCCCCCACAUUGGAACUGAGACACGGUCCAAACUCCUACGGGAGGCAGCAGUGAGGAAUAGUGGGCAAGGGGCGAGAGCCUGAACCAGCCAAGUAGCGUGCAGGAUGACGGCCCUAUGGGUGGUAAACUGCUUUUAGAAGGGAAUAAAGUGGGUCUCGGGAGACUUUUUGCAUGUACCUUAUGAAUAAGGACCGGCUAAUUCCGUG